Molecule: RNA transcript, 1254 nt
Organism: Syzygium oleosum
Lineage: Eukaryota; Viridiplantae; Streptophyta; Magnoliopsida; Myrtales; Myrtaceae
Exons: 3
Source: RefSeq, a predicted model, not a curated record
UUUUUUCCCUCUUCUUUCCUUGCUUCUUUCAUCUUAUGGAAAUUAAUGGAAAGCUGGUUUUUACUAAGUUCGCUCAUCUAGCUCUGGCCGGCCCUCGAGAUGACUUUGCGAAAGUUGUUUGAUUUAGGACAGAUGUUGAGGUCGUGGUAGAUUUUAUGUCGGAAAAUGGGGAAUGGUUUUUGAUUCAUUUUAUGUGCUCGUUGUAUUCUUGCUUGUUGCGCCUGUGUUAAAACCCAUCAUGGUCUCAUGUGUGUUCAAAACUCUAUCAGCUCAUGAUCGUUGCCUUUGUGGGGGGAAAACAAAAGAAUUGCUGGGAAUCUUUUGGUGGUCAAACAAGGCAUCACUGGACAAUGACAUCAAACGAGCAAACACUAGUCACCCAACAACCAUGGUGGGAACGGCAGAAUCUCGAAAUCGGUCUACAGGAUGUCGAGCACCAGUGCCCAUGCCGGGUAGACAAACAAGAUGAGCAACCCGACGGUGUUGGAGAUGCCGUGGGCUUUCGUGAAUGAGUUGCGGAACCCGCCGGAGGCUCGGAUGUGCUCCUGCAGCAAGUAACACGCGAUGGCGAGGCAGAUCAAUACCCCGAUCCAGCUCCCCUUUAUGGUGCUCGCGAACAGGCUCGGAGCCACCACUAUCAGGAGAAUCAGAGCGCCGGGCAUCUCCAGCCAAUCUGUCAAAACGGAAUGUGAGCAUAGAAUCAAUGGCUCGAAGUCUUUGCAUACCUGGGAAGUGCCGAGGGAAGAAAAGGCGCAAGACGACGGCGACGAAAGCGACCCACUUGCCAAUCUCUCCCCUGCAUCACGGGGGUUCAAAGUUUCUCAAGCAAAUACGAUUGCAGGCCGGUAUAGUAGAAAGAUAGGACAGCAGAUGUACUACUUUCAUGUAGACGAGAGGUCGAUGAGAUCACCUGAGGAUUGUGAACAACAAUGAAGGGAGGCUCAAGAAGAUGUAGGGGAUCAACAGGGAUGUGAGCAUGUUCGUCCUCCAGUGCGUCCGAUCCAAGACCAACAAGUAGCUGCAUUACGCACCAGAUUAAAGCAGAAUUACUACUCUCUACUCGUGUUGCCCAAACAUGUUCAAUCAGAUUAUUGGGGGAGAGGAAAAAUGGUAUUGCAUGGGCCAGCCCAUCUUGCGGGGCGCGAUUGAGAUUGCCCCGGCCCAUUAAGUUAAUUUGAAUAAGCGGUAUUGAUAUUUCUCUUCUUUUUUUGGACUGAAUAAUGAUAUUGAUAGUUGACCUGGAGAUUUCAUCCA